UACGUAGGGGGCAAGCGUUGUUCGGAAUCACUGGGCGUAAAGGGAGCGUAGGCGGGAUCGUAAGUUAGGAGUUUAAUUCCCGGGCUUAACCCGGGGCUGGCUUUUAAUACUGCGAUCCUUGAGUAAGGAAGAGGGAGAUGGAAUUUCAGGUGUAGCGGUGGAAUGCGUAGAUAUCUGAAAGAACACCAGCAGCGAAGGCGGUCUCCUGGUACUAUACUGACGCUGAGGCUCGAAAGUUAGGGGAG
RNAcentral lists this ribosomal RNA (245 nucleotides) under uncultured bacterium. RNAcentral's name for it is "partial 16S ribosomal RNA". It matches the Rfam family "Bacterial small subunit ribosomal RNA", at positions 524 to 768 of the family's 1533-position model. The record is from RNAcentral.